This 1410-nucleotide ribosomal RNA is filed under the name metagenome. Its description in RNAcentral is "SSU rRNA". It matches the Rfam family "Eukaryotic small subunit ribosomal RNA", at positions 366 to 1801 of the family's 1831-position model. The record is from RNAcentral.
AGAAUAAGGGUUCGACUCCGGAGAGGGAGCCUGAGAAACGGCUACCACAUCCAAGGAAGGCAGCAGGCGCGCAAAUUACCCACUCUCGGCACGAGGAGGUAGUGACGAAAAAUAACGAGACGGAUCUCUUUGAGGCCCGUUAUCGGAAUGAGAACAAUUCAAAUCCUUUAACGAGGAUCUAGCGGAGGGCAAGUCUGGUGCCAGCAGCCGCGGUAAUUCCAGCUCCGCAGGUGUAUAUCUAUGCUGCUGCGGUUAAAAAGCUCGUAGUUGGAUCUGCGUGCUCGGAACUGGUUGGCUCACUGAGUUCAAACUGGUCUCCGGCGCUUUAUUGGCUGGUUUUCCCUUGAUGCUCUUAACCGGGUGUCUUGGGUGGCUAGCACGUUUACUUUGAAAAAAUUAGAGUGCUCAAUACAGGCGUAAAGCCUUGAAUAGUGGUGCAUGGAAUAAUAGAAUAGGACCUCGGCUCUAUUUUGUUGGUUUUCGGAACGCGAGGUAAUGAUUAAGAGGGACAGACGGGGGCAUUCGUAUUGCGACGUUAGAGGUGAAAUUCUUGGAUCGUCGCAAGACGGACGACUGCGAAAGCAUUUGCCAAGAAUGUUUUCAUUAAUCAAGAACGAAAGUUAGAGGUUCGAAGGCGAUCAGAUACCGCCCUAGUUCUAACCGUAAACGAUGCCAACUAGCGAUUCGCAGGCGUUAAACAACGACCUUGCGGGCAGCUUCCCGGAAACGAAAGUGUUCGGGUUCCGGGGGAAGUAUGGUUGCAAAGCUGAAACUUAAAGGAAUUGACGGAAGGGCACCACCAGGAGUGGAGCCUGCGGCUUAAUUUGACCCAACACGGGAAAACUCACCCGGCCCGGACACCGUAAGGAUUGACAGAUUGAGAGCUCUUUCUUGAUUCGGUGGGUGGUGGUGCAUGGCCGUUCUUAGUUGGUGGAGCGAUUUGUCUGGUUUAUUCCGAUAACGAACGAGACUCUGGCCUACUAAAUAGUGGGCGGAUUCUUUCUGUCCGCAACACUUCUUAGAGGGACAAGCGGUGUUCAGCCGCACGAGAUUGAGCAAUAACAGGUCUGUGAUGCCCUUAGAUGUCCGGGGCUGCACGCGCGCUACACUGAAGGAAUCAGCGUGCUUUCUGACCUUGCCCGAAAGGGCUGGGUAACCCGAUGAAAAUCCUUCGUGAUUGGGAUAGGGACUUGCAAUUAUUUCCCUUGAACGAGGAAUUCCCAGUAAGUGUGGGUCAUAAGCUCGCGUUGAUUACGUCCCUGCCCUUUGUACACACCGCCCGUCGCUGCCCGGAACUGAGCCGUUUCGAGAAGAACAGGGACCGUCGUUGAAGGGCCUUAACGGGCUUUUCUCUGAUAGAAACUGUUUUAAUCGCAGUGGCUUGAACCGGGCAAAAGUCGUAACAAGGUU